This 497-nucleotide ribosomal RNA is filed under the name uncultured bacterium. Its description in RNAcentral is "partial 16S ribosomal RNA". It matches the Rfam family "Bacterial small subunit ribosomal RNA", at positions 28 to 507 of the family's 1533-position model. The record is from RNAcentral.
GAUGAACGCCGGCGGCGUGCCUAAUACAUGCAAGUCGAGCGAACAGACGAGGAGCUUGCUCCUCUGACGUUAGCGGCGGACGGGUGAGUAACACGUGGAUAACCUACCUAUAAGACUGGGAUAACUUCGGGAAACCGGAGCUAAUACCGGAUAAUAUAUUGAACCGCAUGGUUCAAUAGUGAAAGACGGUUUUGCUGUCACUUAUAGAUGGAUCCGCGCCGCAUUAGCUAGUUGGUAAGGUAACGGCUUACCAAGGCAACGAUGCGUAGCCGACCUGAGAGGCGGAGCGGCCACACUGGAACGGAGACGCGAUCCAGACUCCUGCGGGAGGCAGCAGUAGGGAAUCUUCCGCAAUGGGCGAAAGCCUGACGGAGGAACGCCGCGUGAGUGAUGAAGGUCUUCGGAUCGUAAAACUCUGUUAUUAGGGAGGAACAAAUGUGUAAGUAACUAUGCACGUCUUGACGGGACCUAAUCAGAAAGCCACGGCUAACUACGUG